AGCAUAUUCGUCGUGAAAAAUAAUUUAGAAUGUAUCAGUUAUAUUAUCAGAACAAUUAUAUAUAUAUAUAUAUAUAUAGAAUUAUGCUACUACACUAUCAAUAGUACCAAGUCCUUAGUACUAUUGAGUUUUCGACCGUUGAAUGAAAAGAUGUGCGGUUAGGAUGAUAGUGGUCCCUAGUAAAAUUGAUAAUGGUCCCCUAGGGUUGAGUGGGUGGUUGGUUUAAUAGUAUAAUCUAACGGGUGGAAAUGAUCAAAGGUAGAUCUAACAGUAGAAAACUCAAUAGUACCAAGGGCUUGGUACUAUCGAUAGUAUAGUAGCCGGACUCUAUAUAUAUAUAUAUAUAUAUAUAUAUAUAUAUAUAUAUAUUUUAAAAAAAAUCUCGAUUUCUUAGUUUAUUCUUUUUAGAAGGUUGAUAUUAAAAAUAUUUUUUAUAUUUCAAGUUAUUUCAAAUAUAUAUAUAUAUAUAUAUAUAUAUAUAAAAAUAUUAAUUUUAAAAAAAAUCUCGAUUUCUUAGUUUAUUCUUUUUAGAAGGUUGAUAUUAAAAAUAUUUUUUAUAUUUCAAGUUAUUUCAAAUAUAUUUAUAGAGUUAAAUUCUGUUAGUGAUCUGUUAGUAAUAAUCGUUAUUUCUGUAAAAUUAAUAUUUUAUCCUUUUUAAUAUACUUUUUUAUCAUCACAAAUUUUUCUUAUUUGUCCUUAAGUUAGGGACAAAAGGCGUAUUUUGAUUUUUAGUCCUUUCAAACAUACCUUUCUACCAUCAUCAACUUUUCUUAUUUGCCCUUAAGUUAAGGGCAAAAGAGGUAUUUUGAUUUUUUUUUUACUUCUAGUAAACAUUUAACUUGCGUUUAACCCGAGAUAACUUAACGGGUGGUAAUUGUAGGGGUAUUUUUGAAUAACAGAGAAAUAUAUGAGAUGUAUAUUGGAAACAAAAGAAAACUAGAAAUAAAUUAGAUAUUUUUGGAGUUUUGAGGGGUAUAUAGACAAUUAUCCCUAUAUUAUUAAUGCAAUAUAUUUCUAAACAAUUAGGUAGCAUUUGGUUCGGGAACAAGGAGGGGAAUAAGCCCUUGUUCCCCCCUUUAUUCCCAAACGUGAUGUUUGGUACCCAGGAACAAUAGUUCCAGAAUUUCAAGAACAAGCUGGUAUAAGGCUGUAACUGCUGUUCCACCUUUUUCUUGAAAUAAGCUUGUUCCUUGAUGAGAACAAGGUUAAUUAAAAUCUAAAUUUAAUUUUAAUGACAAUAAAUUAUUAAUUAAUCUAAUUAAUAUAUUUAAAUUAUUAUUUAUUACUUUAAUAAUUAAAUAAUUAAUUAAUUUAUUAUUUAUAAUUAAUUAAUAAUAAUUAGAUAAUCUAUAGUAUUAUUAAUUUAUUAUUUAUAGUUAAUUAUUAAUAAUUAUUAAUUAGACAAUCGUUAUUAUUAUUAAUAUAUUAUUUAUAAUUAAUUAUUAAUAAUUAGAUAAUUAUUAUUAUUAAUUUAUUACUAGUAAUUAAUUAUUAAUAAUUAUUAAUACUUAUUAUUAUUUAUAAUUAAUUAAUAAUAAUUAAUUAAUUAUUUUAUUUUUAAGUAAUAUUUUGAUGUUAAUUAAUUACAUAAUAUAAUUUAAAUUUCAAAUUAUAACUCUUAUUUCUCUUGUUCCAAUCGAACCAUCCAAAUACUAUUUACCUUAUUUCUAGAAACAACCCAAUUUUCAUCGAAACGCAAAAUUGGUCUAGUUCCUGCUUAUACCUGAAUUUGUACCUAUCCAUAGAACUAGUGGUUCUUAUUUAUACCCGAACCAAACGCAGCCUUAGAUUAUCCCUUUUAGGUUCACCCAUUCCAUCAUAAUUAUUAGAGAAAUAUUUUUAUUGUACUUUUUUUUUUCUCAAACAGAGAGAUGCGAUAGACUGAUUAUUGAUGAUAUAAUGCAAGUGUGAUAUAAUAGACUUCCGCCUGUUUUGGGGCGAACAAUAAAUUUUUAUCUUAAAAAUAAAAAAAUUUUGAGCUAAAUUAGGGCCCGUUUGGCCUAACUUUUGAAAAAGUGAUUUCUGAAAAAGUGAUUUUGGUUUAGAGAAUUGAUUUUGGUUAAAAGCUGCAGAGCGUUUGGCCGAGUUUAGAUAAAAGCGAUUUUUCAGAAGUGAUUUUCAAAAACUGUUUGGCAUAUAUUUUUUUUGAUGUUUAUAUAAAUUAAUAUUUUUAUUAAAUUUUAUUUUAAAAUAAUUUAAAAUCUAAAUUUAAAUUUGAAUUAAAAUUAAAAUUUUUAAAUUUCAAAAUUGUACAAAAUUAAAAAUGUCACGCCCCGGUUUACUCGUUUUUCCGGCUCGCUGACAGACCCGCCGUAUAUAUAGGUAUUUUUCCUGUAUACGAAGCGAAAAAGUAGAAGUGCCUGUAAUCAUACAAUACUACAAACAGUAGUAUAGAGCAGCUAGGAAAAUAAACCAGAAAUAAAAACUGCGGUUCCAAUACAUACAUGUCAUCCAGGUAUACAAACACUCGCUCAUGCGAGAAAACAACAACUGUAUGUAAAGACCCAAAAACUACAACUACUUGUAGCUGGUGCUCUC
Molecule: long non-coding RNA, 2538 nt
Filed under: Ananas comosus (pineapple)
Lineage: Eukaryota; Viridiplantae; Streptophyta; Magnoliopsida; Poales; Bromeliaceae
Description: long non-coding RNA (ACOM_LNC022134)
Source: RNAcentral